UCUGGAAGAUCUUUUACCAGAAACUUGGGGUUUCGUGGGUGAGCUCGUUGCUGGAGAGCCACGACCGAACGCAUUGUAUAUGACUGAGUUGUAAGGCAUCUGCUUACUGUACAGAGGAGAGCGACUGAGAAUGGCGCUGUAAGAAAGGUUAAUACCCAACUUUACAGACCAAUCACUGUUCCCAGCCUUAGCUUCAACAUUAUCCAACGCUGCCUGAAUCAUUUCCUCAUCCUCUCGAGUCACAUUCCUGAAUUCAGUAUCAUUCCACUCGUGAUUGACUCCAAGCUCAUCGGCAACUAUCUUUGCUUCAGCCUCUAUCCUGGGAUACUCUGCAAAUAUCAUAUGUCUUAAUGAUCAAAAGACUCAAGCAUAUACAUAAUAUAUAUAGCAAAAUCCAGAAUACGUCGUAAGACUAAUAAAAAUUGGAUGUUGUCGUUUUGCGGUUACCUGGAUGGCAUAGUAACAUAAUGCGAAUCCCUCCUAGAGGACGGAGUUGCUGUUCCACUUCUGCAGCAUGCUCAAGACAAAAUACGUGCAACCGAGAGGAAUCAUCAUCAGAUCUUGGAACAAAGGGGAAAGCUAUUUCCAGAUUUGAUGUACUGCCACCAUUACUUAACCUAUCAUGUUCAGCAGCAUUUGAUCCCUCAACAACCCCUUUCCCUUUCCCACAUGAAAGUCUUUGACUGCUAUUAUCAAAAGCUUGACCAUCUGUAGCCUCCUCAAUACCAUUGUGGUCAUACUUUCUCUCUUCCGAGAUAAUAGUAUCUAAGCCUUUGUGAUCUUCUUCCUCGGAAUCAGAAGAAUCUCCAUACGCUGAAGCUAACAACCCAAGAGCACCAUCUUCUUUUUGCGCUUUUGUUAAAGAAGUUGUUGAAGUUCUUUCAUCCGUAGUUUGAACAGGAACAUUGUAGAAGUCAUCUACAUCAUGCUUUCCUGUGCUUUCUGCGUAAUGAUACAAAGUUAUCAAACAAAAAAGUCUUUAGAUUUAACACUUUAAAGCCAUGAACAGGAUGAGCGACUAGUAACUUACCUGAAUGAGGCUUCACUGCAGAAAAUCUUGAAUCCUGACCAAGAUUUGCAGAUCCUGAAGUAGCUGUCCAAUCAUUGAAGAAGCUACAAUCUGCAGACAUGAGAUAUCUAGCUGCUGCUUCUUUAGGUUGAACAAUAGCUACACAAUCAAAGCAUAAGAUUCCACAUGUGACACAAGAGAAAAGCCUCUGAUCCGAAAGCCCAACUGCUCUGUCAUUCUUCCUUUCAGCAUCUGUCAAAGUUCCUUGAGUUUCGUUCUCUCUGCUUGCCAGGUAAUUUCUAUUCCUUUCACACAAAGAUGUAAACUUUUCUUUCACUGAGACCACAUCCUUGAAACCGUUACUGAGUCCGGCCAUAAUACUAUCAGAACUGAAGUCCUCGGAUUUUAAUUGGAUUGGCCUUUCCUGGUUAGUUCUCAAAUGGGAUCCAACUCUGAGGUCAGAACAAACCGAUACAUCUGAGGAACUCUGCGGAAGAAGAGCGACAGGAGAUCUUUUUCCAAGAGAACGGAGCAAUUCAUUGUUAUGGAUAAUGUUUUGCACAAAUAGCUCUUUAGUCAAUUUUUCUCCUUCACUUCUUUUCUUAUCUUUCAAUCUAGAACUCCGUGGUUUGGUGUGGAUGCUUGUUGGCACUCUGCAAUAAGUGAAUCACACCUUACAAGCAGUCUUAAGAUUCAAGUUAGAGAGUUUGUGGAAAUCUUUGAAAGAAAUUACCUUGAACACAAAGCCAAUGCAAAGUCAUAAAGUAACUGGAGAUGAGAAACCAUUGGAGGGUAAUUUAUAGCAGCUCGCCGGAUGGCAGCAUCUUUUGCAAUUCUCAACCACUCGGGAGUUGCAAUGUUAGAUGCCUCUCCACAAUUGAAUCCUAGAAUACCCCAAGAUUAUGUUUGAGAUAAUAUAAGUUAGUUUCAACACGCUAAGCCUUGGGUGAUUAACUUGAAGAUACUAAAUAAAGGUCGCUUGCUCACCGUGACUAAACCCCGAAUGAUAUGCUCUUGGAAAAGUGACGACAAACUCACCAGGAUUUUGCACUAACCUGAUACAAGCAAACCACUUGCAUGAAAAACCAACAGAAACAAUUGUGCCUCUGGAUGUUUCCAGUCAAUUGAAUAGAAUGGAUGCAACUAACAGAUUCUUUUCUAGUUGAAGAAGUAAAUGGAAGACAACAAGAUCAUGAGAUAAACAGAGCAAACAUAAGAAACCACUACCUGCAACAUGGUAUUCCGGCUUUAACAAAUACUUCAGGAGACAUCACAGUUGUCUUGUCACCAAGAGUUGAAAAUGUCACUGGUAAGACAACAACAAAAGAGGCAAAACCAUUUAGUUUACUUGCAUACAGCUAUACAAGGAUAGAGACACAAACAUAACAAUCAGAACAAUGAAGUGAAGCUAAGCUCCCAGACUCAGAACCUUCAUAACUUAACCUUCGAAAGAAACUUGUUAUCAAAACAAGACUCUGGCUUCAAUCAAAAACCAACCAAGCACAAGCCUUUACCGAAAUUUCUUGGCCAAGUGACUAUGUAACAGAGUAUCCCAUAGAAGUAAGCAAUUGGUGGAAAAGAAAACUAACCAAGAGGAUUAAGCUCUCCUCCAUAGCCAUGAACCCUAACCACCUCCUCAAAAGCCACAGCAGCAUCCUUUGGAACGCCGUACCAAGUCUUACUAGCACCCAUAUGCAAGUAAUUGAGACUAUGAAGGUCAUGGUCUUCCACAUGCCAAGCAAACCAACUAAACAUCAUAGCAAUAUACACCAUUGGAGAUGUAACUCCAGGGAUCUCCUCUUUCAUGAACUUAAGCAACGAUCCUUCAGCUCUGGCCAUUGCCCUCAUGUUCCAAGCUGUCUCACCAACUGUUCCUCCAUCACCACCAGACUCUCUUCUCCUUGCAGCCGCCAGGCUCAGAGGGAUAAAAGCCGAGCCAGGCAUGUCGUUUGCGUACUCAACAGAGAAGGGUUUGUCCACUGUGGCUCUCCAGUAAAGGGUUUCGAUUUCUAGGGCAGAAAGUUGACUCUUUUUGCCGCAUUUCCUUAGAUAAUUCUUCUCAAAGUUCUUAGCUUUAAACUCAAACUCACCGAAACUGUAAUGCUCUCCGCUCUGCCACACUGGUCUCUGUACGGGUCGCUGCUUCCUAGGGCAAAACCCGAUCUGCUGUUGACGCGUGGCGAAUGUGGGGGCACCGUCGUAAUCGAAAGCAUCGCCGCCGUCACGAACCCUCGCCGUCGCUAGCGACGCCAGAGAACGGUUGAGGUUAGAAAUCGUGGUUUUCUUCGAAGGAGGAGGCACUGGAGGCACAAUUUUGCAGAUUCCGUAUCUUGAAGCUUCCUCUUCGAUUUUGAAAAUGUAAGCGAUCGGAUCUUGGAACUCUGCUAAAGUAGGUCGGAACUCUGGUGCAACCGGCAACGAUUUCAGCCAUGGAAACACGUCUGGGCUCUGCUCCGAAACCACCAUGUCUCUCUAUUUCGAACGAACAGAGGAAAAACAAAACCUUUCUCUUGAAAUUAGUUCACUUUCAGGGUUUCAGAAUCUGGGUACUGAAAAACGCCAUUACAGAGGAAAAGUUAAAACAGAACUAAAAUGGAGAAGAAGAAACAAAAGGAAAGCAGAGUUAAGAGAUUCGACAAAUCUCCACCAUCUCUCUUCUCCAAUAGGUUUUUAAUUUCUUAAAGGGGAUAACUAAACCUACUUUUUUCUCGAGAGAAACGACGGGCUUGAUCUCGUUUCUUUUGGAAAAUUGUUUUUUUUUUCAGGGGUUGGGUUUGGGGCAGAGCAAGAGAUUGUGAUUUCUCGUUUCUCUGUUUUGUUUUUUGCUUUUUAAAUUAUUCUCAUUUUGCAUAAAAGAAGCAACUAGCAAGUAGUGGUAAAUUGUAAGGGCAAAGAGAUUUUGAAAUCUACGAUGAAAGGAUGGUUAAUGCGGUUUUUUUAUUAUGUUAUACUAAAUAAAAUACUAGUAUUUACUAUUUUGCCAUUUCAUGAGUUCGACAACACACAUUUGUUGUUGUCCCGCACCUUUUGCGCAUUCAAAAACUACUCCUUCCUCUGUUUAUCAUUUUCAAUAUUUUUAAUAAAUUUUUAUUAUUGAAUAAAAGGGUAACGUAAUUUUCGUCCAUUUUCUUAUUUAUUUUAAAUUUUAUCACAUUUUGAUUUUUUCUUAUGGUUUCUAUAUUAUACAUUUUUGAGGAAAUUUUUUAAAAAGGUUUUUGUCAUUAUUCUAGUUCCUAACAUAGCGUCCCGUCCUAUUUAUGGGCUAGUUUUUUUUUGUCAUCAGUCAGUCCCUCUUCUGAUUUUUAUGGAUUGUUUCCAAUACUUAUAAAAAUUCACUUUUUAUGUAAAUAUUGUUGAAAGUUAUGAUAUACCCCGAUACUAAAUUUGUCAAAUAGUAAGUAGCAUAUAUAAGUUUCACAAAAGUAAAUUUAUCCCAAAAUAUCUGUCAAUACUGAACUUCAUUCAGCUAAUGUCGUUAACAAUAGGUUGAGUCUUUAUCGAAGGUCAAAUGAAGUCCACAAAUUAAAACCAAAAAAAAAUGAAACCCACGGCUAGCAUUUAGACAUUCAACCAUCCAGAUUGUGUCACGUCGAAAACUAUAUAUAUCUCAAGUAAUAAAUAAUUAAAAGUCGUUGAAAGUCGUUCGACAAAAAAAAAAUAAUAAUUAAAACUCGUUAUUUACUCAAGGAAAAUGUUAAAAUAAAUAUAAAUUUGAAUCUCUUGGGGUUGAAACAUUAUCCAAACACACAGAGAGACUGAUACUCCAAAAGUAGCUCUUGCUUUCUUCUAAAUCUUUUAUCUUUCCCUAUGACCAUAUCUCACUUCGUUGAUAUCGUCAUGCAAUUGUUGACAACUAAAACAAGCCGGUCAACACAGAAGGCCUAAAAUUAAGAAACUAACAAUUUUAAUUUGUGCAGCAUAUAACGCCUCUUAAGUCUUAACAACAUUGAUUCAACAAAAGGGUUUCUUUUUUCAGUCCUCUGUCUUCGUAAACACAUCUUCCUUAGCAGAAUUUGAGAUAAUGUCUUAAUCAUAAAAGCUUCUCCUUUACUUAUCAAAAGCCAAGAAGAAAGAAAGUAACAUGAACAUAAUAGUCUCCUACAUAAGGAUUUUUUUACAGAUUAAACUGUAAAAAUAAUAACAGAGUAGUGAAAUGUCUGCAAGAACCAGGGACCCUCAAAACCCUAAAUCCAAUUUCUCUUCUUAUAGACCAAUGGAUCAUAAUCUCUUCAAGAUAGAUUCCAUGUUAGAACCUAAAUCACCUUUUCUUUGUCUUCUUUACUGAAUGACCGGUCUUCCUUUUAUGCCGGCUAAAAUCUGAGACAAACCGAAAAGUCUGACCGCAACUUGGUUCAGCACAAACAUAAGGCCUUGCACCUGUGUGAACCCUGAUGUGCUCGGUUCUAGACCAAGCCCACUUGAACGUCAUCUUGCAGCCCUUCCAUGGACAUUUCAGAGGACGGUCAUCUGAGUGAACACGCCGGUGUUGAACCAAAUACUUGUGUGAGAAGAAGUUUUUACCACAACCUUUAACAGGGCAUAUGUUUCUUUUAUGCAAAGCCAACUGUUUUUCCGAAGUGAAACUCAUCGUGCAACCCUCCAUGUCACAUUGGUACGGUGCGCAUUCCUCUUGCUCAUUCUCUUCUUCAUCUUCCUCUAACUCUUCCUCACUUGCAACUCUGGAAAAAGAAUUGCUGUUUCUUUUCUUACCAGUUUUCUUUGGUUUUGUUUCAGAAGACCCUAUUGAGGGAUUUAGAUUUCUCACUCUCAGCCGUGUGCUCGGUCCCUCCAUGUAUAUAUCCACUUCUUGAUUCUUCUUUCUGGGUCCAGAUUGUCGCAAAGCACGUCUUUUUGUGUCUCUCAGACUCUGAACUAUCUCGGUUUUCACUUUUCGUUUAGCUGUGGACCUGGUUUGCCUUUUCCCUGCACUGCAAAACUCUUGUUCCUCCAGUGAAUUAUCUGCUGAAUCGUACGCACCACCCAUUCGACUAAUUUGCGCAUUACUUGUAGAUACUCUUCCCCUUUGUUGAUAUAGGCCAUUUUCUUCUGAAUCAUAUGAAACCGGAUUCCUAAAGAAUUUAGUCCGUUUGCUCCUUGGAAGCCCUCUAGGAUGCCUAUAGAUAUCAUCAUCAUCAUGAUCAUACAUUGACUGGUUCUCUCUAUAUAGCUGAGAGCCAUUCUCCAUUGAGCUCUCUGAAGCAGCACAUUCCCUUACAGCAUAUUCUUCUCCAAGUGAACGGUCUGAAACCUCAUCAUCUGACUCAAAAUCUUUAUCACCUUGGUGUCUCACAAAUUCCUGCUGCUCAUCAGACAUUUGAUUUGAUGAAUCACCAGAAACCGAAUUCCCUGUCUCAAAAUAAGACUCUUCCUCAUUCCCAGAAGCCCUCCAUUGCUGCUUAUAGGAAUGAUCCUCUGAUGUGUCAUCAGAAACAACAUCUUCCCUCUUAAAAGAGGUAAGCUUCUUGCGUGGCAAAGCCUUUGCUCUCAUCUUUCUCUUCCUACAAUACUUUCUUCCAAACAUUGUGGUUGCAUCUCUAGAAGCAUUACAAGGAGACAAUCUCUUUCCAAUGACAUCAUCUUCCAGAACACCUCGCAGAUGACAACUUCUUUCAGAUUCAUCCCCCUCUAAGUCCUGCUGCAGCAAAAAGGGAUGCACCUGAAGAAGAACAAAAUAUCAGCGUUAAAAACUGAAACAAACCAAGCAGAAACAGAAGUGAACUAAUGUCCAAAUUAGUAUAUGUUUUCAAGUUAAUAUUACCUGAUGCGACAUCCAAACCUUCCCACACCAUUUUCCAACAACAUAUUUCCUCUGUCUGGAAGAUCUUUUACCAGAAACUUGGGGUUUCGUGGGUGAGCUCGUUGCUGGAGAGCCACGACCGAACGCAUUGUAUAUGACUGAGUUGUAAGGCAUCUGCUUACUGUACAGAGGAGAGCGACUGAGAAUGGCGCUGUAAGAAAGGUUAAUACCCAAUUUUACAGACCAAUCACUGUUCCCAGCCUUAGCUUCAACAUUAUCCAACGCUGCCUGAAUCGUUUCCUCAUCCACUCGAGACACAUUCCUGAAUUCAGUAUCAUUCCACUCGUGAUUGACUCCAAGCUCUUCAGA
RNAcentral lists this long non-coding RNA (7115 nucleotides) under Eutrema salsugineum. Its description in RNAcentral is "long non-coding RNA (ESAL_LNC001397)". The record is from RNAcentral. Lineage: Eukaryota; Viridiplantae; Streptophyta; Magnoliopsida; Brassicales; Brassicaceae.